UACGAAGGGGGCGAGCGUUGUUCGGCUUUACUGGGCGUAAAGGGCGCGUAGGCGGCCCUCUUUGUCGCGUGUGAAAGCCCCGGGCUCAACCUGGGAAUUGCGCGCGAAACGGGGGGGCUUGAGUUCGGGAGAGGAGCGUGGAAUUCCCAGUGUAGAGGUGAAAUUCGUAGAUAUUGGGAAGAACACCGGUGGCGAAGGCGGCGCUCUGGACCGAGACUGACGCUGAGGCGCGAAAGCGUGGGGAGCAAACAGG
This 253-nucleotide ribosomal RNA is filed under the name uncultured bacterium. RNAcentral's name for it is "partial 16S ribosomal RNA". It matches the Rfam family "Bacterial small subunit ribosomal RNA", at positions 524 to 776 of the family's 1533-position model. The record is from RNAcentral.